UUCCGGGAAGGUUCGGACUCUGAUAAGAGGGAUGAUAUAGUUGAAUCGAUGACGGUCUAGUUUACAGCGUAUGAACACUUUCUGCUUCUCCGUGAUGAGGCACACGCCGAGCCGAAAGAAAUGGCGCUCUGUGAUUGGUUCGUUUGUACCUGCAAUGCGUCACUCCCCAUUUUCUGCGUUUCGCUGCAUUCAGCCAGUCGUCCAAGACAUCUUAAUGCUACAUCCACAGCAGGCUAGCUAGGCAACCGCUAUGUACAGUACGUACUCAUGGGCUUCAUUCAUAAGGAACUCCUUAGCAGUUUUGCACUUACUAUAUUUAUUUAGAACUGAAUCUUUAAUCCCACCAGUUUUAUGUGUCAGUUUGUUGUAUAUCUUAAUAUCAAAUUACAGUACAUCACAUGUUAACAUCGAUGCUCUCUAAAACUGUUAUCCCAGUGUGGGACUCCCAGGGUAAAUGAUCAAUGCAUCUAUAAUGAGAUGCACAUGUAUGUGAUUAUUUUUUUUUUUUUUAGCCCUUGGUCAUCCAUAAUGUGUGCAUUUCUCUGGCAUGCACAUUGAGAUACGUUUGUUGCAUGCAUUACUACCUAUGGCACAGUUUCAGGUCUAAUUAUGUAGUUAGUGUGAAGGGAGUAUCUGAUAGCAUGAUUGCUGACGCUUGACUGCACUCCUGUCUCCAAGCGGCCACCUGUCUCAGGCCUGUUCCAAUGGAAGAGGAUGAGGUUGAGAGAAGGUAGAUGUGUGAGGGGAACCACUUUAUACUGUAUUACCUUUGGCCUGGGUCAGCAUAGAUGAAAGAGGAAAGAAAUGAAGCAACAUUUCAAACAAAAAAAAAGCAAAGGGACAUUUAAGCUUUCACGGUGACUCAAGUCAGGGAGUCAGUGCGUGAGUUGUAGCCCAUAGCAGCUCUUGUAUGAAAGCGCAUUCUGUGACCACUCAUGGUAAUAAAGUAACUGAAGUGCAUCAGCGACUGUCAUCCUUGACCACAUACGAGAACAUUACAAUACCGAUAAAGAAAUCAGCAUCCCUUUGUAGAGGAUACAGAGUGGUUCCCACUUCCAUCUGUGGUAAUGCCAGGUCAUGUGAUCAACUGUCCAGCCUCACAGUCAGCCAGACUUUUUUGCAACCUGCAUAAUCUUGAGCACAUUGAAUUAGUUUUCAUACAGAGGUUUCUUUUUGUCACCGAGGAUUAUGAAAUACCAAAGGUGACGACACAAAGGCCGAACUUUGUCACAAGAAUCGGAUAAGCUGGAGCCUGGGUGAAUGAAUGACUGCAUGCUCAAGAUCUAUUGCCACCCUGCUGCCAAUAUUCCCAAUUCGCUGUUCCCUUUAAUGAGCCAUUGGUCUCUGAGAAGCCGAUGAAGGACAAAGGGUUCAAAGUUCAUCCCAGUUCAACAGAGGCAAAGCAGAAGUCACCCUUCCAUGUUCAUUAAUAAUCCGUAAGAUCACUCAGCUGAAUGGCACUUAGCAUGGAUCCUUUUGUUGCACAAUCAUAUUCUAAAAUAUAUCUUUUUUAUAGCAUUUGUGGACCAUGAGAGGCAAAUGACAAAUAUGAGGCAAUGUUUACCUGUGUAACAGGAAGACGCUAUUAUAAAUGAAUGAGGCUGUGUAAUGCACCUGCUGGUUUAAUGCCAAACAAGUGCAUCGCCUUUCAUGGGAGACAAUGUCAGGUGUUUGCACUUCACUGUCAACUAAAAGAUCAUUGCGUCAUGUAUGUAUUUCUGCAUGUUUGUUUUGCCUUCUUUCUGUAUGUUUAAGCUAAUAUGGAAUCUAAAUGCUUUUUUGGUGAAUGUUUCAAUGUGUGUGUACUGAGGGUAAAACAAGAUGGAAUGGGUGUGAUUGUUUGUGGAUUAAUAUUUUAUUACGCAUGGGCAAAUCAGCUGGAUCUGAAAUGCCUCGCCGCACUAACUGGCUAAAGGUAGGCUACGGCUCAGUUAGUGCACGACGUAGAUGAUCCCACAGCAAAGCACUUCUCGUAAGUAUGGAUGGGUUUUACAGUCGUGCAAUAACAGUAUUAGGCGUAUAAAGUCCAACAACGGGCUUGCUGUAUAUAAACCAAUCUCAUCAAGCACGCUAGCCUACCUGUUACAGAGAAAUGAGACAAAUGACUGGUUCUCCAAAAUGACAUCACGAGGCAGAAAUGAUUAAUGGCCUCAAAUCGGAUAAGAGGAUUUGGUCAGGCCUGCCUGUUUCAAUCAUGUUGUGAUGAAAUGGAUAUAGCAUAAAGUGUGUCCUUAGUAUUUUUAUCUCCCUGAAUUGUUUGUAUUUCUAUGCAGAUUACUGAAGUUCUUUUAUUUAAGGAAGGGAUGUAAAACUUAUUUUUAUCAUGGGCCACAUCAUAGUUAUGACUUCCCCAGUUAUGACUUCCCUCGGAGGUCCAUAAUGACUGAAUGAAAUUUAAAUAAAUUAUCCCCUCUUAUAAUUACAAAUA
Molecule: long non-coding RNA, 2428 nt
Organism: Phyllopteryx taeniolatus (common seadragon)
Lineage: Eukaryota; Metazoa; Chordata; Actinopteri; Syngnathiformes; Syngnathidae
Exons: 3
Source: RefSeq, a predicted model, not a curated record